RNAcentral lists this ribosomal RNA (253 nucleotides) under uncultured bacterium. Its description in RNAcentral is "partial 16S ribosomal RNA". It matches the Rfam family "Bacterial small subunit ribosomal RNA", at positions 524 to 776 of the family's 1533-position model. The record is from RNAcentral.
GACAGAGGUCCCGAGCGUUAGGCGGAAUCACUGGGCUUAAAGCGUGUGUAGGCGGAUUUGUAAGUACCUUGUGAAAUCCCACGGCUCAACCGUGGAACUGCUUGGUAUACUGCUUAUCUUGGGCCAUCUAGGGGCUACCGGAACAAGUGGUGGAGCGGUGAAAUGCGUAGAUAUCACUUGGAACGCCAAUGGUGAAAACAGGUAGCUGGGGAUGUGCCGACGCUGAGACACGAAAGCCAGGGGAGCAAACGGG